RNAcentral lists this ribosomal RNA (1482 nucleotides) under metagenome. RNAcentral describes it as "bacterial LSU rRNA". It matches the Rfam family "Bacterial large subunit ribosomal RNA", at positions 1444 to 2925 of the family's 2925-position model. The record is from RNAcentral.
CUGUGUGUAGUGCGAUGUGGGGACGGAUCUUAAUAGGUCAUCCGGGUGUUGGAUAUCCCGGUUUAGGCAGAUGUAGGCGACAGGUAGGCAAAUCCGCCUGUCAUAUACCGAGGCUGCCGAUCGAGCGAGCUUGCUCGCGAAGUGAUUGAACGAGGUUCCAGGAAAAGCCACUAAGCUUCAGCUACACACGACCGUACCGCAAACCGACACUGGUGCGCGAGAUGAGUAUUCUAAGGCGCUUGAGAGAACUCGGGAGAAGGAACUCGGCAAAUUGACACCGUAACUUCGGAAGAAGGUGUGCCCUAUUAGUGUGAAGUGAACAACGGAGCAUGAAUGGGUUGCAAAAAAUCGGUGGCUGCGACUGUUUAUUAAAAACACAGCACUCUGCAAACACGAAAGUGGACGUAUAGGGUGUGACGCCUGCCCGGUGCUGGAAGAUUUAAUGAUGGGGUGCAAGCUCUUGAUUGAAGUCCCAGUAAACGGCGGCCGUAACGAUAACGGUCCUAAGGUAGCGAAAUUCCUUGUCGGGUAAGUUCCGACCUGCACGAAUGGCGUAACGAUGGCCACACUGUCUCCUCCCGAGACUCAGCGAAGUUGAAAUGUUUGUGAUGAUGCAAUCUCCCCGCGGAAAGACGGAAAGACCCCAUGAACCUUUACUGUAGCUUUGUAUUGGACUUUGAACAGAUCUGUGUAGGAUAGGUGGGAGGCUUUGAAGCAGGGUCGCUAGAUCUUGUGGAGCCAACGUUGAAAUACCACCCUGGUGUGUUUGAGGUUCUAACCUAGGUCCAUUAUCUGGAUCGGGGACAGUGCAUGGUAGGCAGUUUGACUGGGGCGGUCUCCUCCCAAAGCGUAACGGAGGAGUUCGAAGGUACGCUAGUUACGGUCGGACAUCGUGACGAUAGUGCAAUGGCAUAAGCGUGCUUAACUGCGAGACUGACAAGUCGAGCAGAUGCGAAAGCAGGACAUAGUGAUCCGGUGGUUCUGUAUGGAAGGGCCAUCGCUCAACGGAUAAAAGGUACUCUGGGGAUAACAGGCUGAUACCGCCCAAGAGUUCAUAUCGACGGCGGUGUUUGGCACCUCGAUGUCGGCUCAUCUCAUCCUGGGGCUGUAGCCGGUCCCAAGGGUAUGGCUGUUCGCCAUUUAAAGAGGUACGUGAGCUGGGUUUAAAACGUCGUGAGACAGUUUGGUCCCUAUCUUCCGUGGGCGCUGCAGAUUUGAGGAAGCCUGCUCCUAGUACGAGAGGACCGGAGUGGACGCACCUCUGGUGUAUCGGUUGUCACGCCAGUGGCAUUGCCGAGUAGCUAUGUGCGGAAGAGAUAACCGCUGAAAGCAUCUAAGCGGGAAACUCGUUCCAAGAUGAGAUCUGCCGGGGCCUUGAGCCCCCUAAAGAGUCGUUCAAGACCAGGACGUUGAUAGGUCGGGUGUGGAAGCGCAGUAAUGCGUUAAGCUAACCGAUACUAAUUGCUCGUGCGGCUUGACCCU